This is a long non-coding RNA of Oryza sativa Japonica Group (Japanese rice), 2817 nucleotides long. RefSeq lists it as uncharacterized. The record is from RefSeq and is a predicted model, not a curated record. NCBI's taxonomy places the organism in Eukaryota, Viridiplantae, Streptophyta, Magnoliopsida, Poales, Poaceae.
UUUGCUCUAUUUUAAUUUUUGUUUUGACCAAAAUACCCUUGUCUCUUUUACCUGUUUGACCAGAUCGAAUCGAUCUCAUCCAGCCUCUUCGGCUCGAGGAGGGAAGCCUCGCCGCCGUCGCCCAUGGUGGCCUACGCGCGGCGCCGCCGGCGCCACACCUGGCUAUAGGCGGGCUGAAGAGGGAUGCGCUCUGCCGGCUAGACGCCACGGCCGAGCACAAGCAGGACGAGAGUGGCCUGCCGUGCCGCUGCAGCAGGGGCGGACGGCAACGUCGGCGAAGAUCGAGGGCACCCGCCGCCGCAUGAGCGACUCUCUUCCACGCCCUGCCGAGAAGCCUCGCCGCCGUCGGAGCCCACGUCUAUUGCUCCCAUGGUGGUGCUGUGCCUGCGUGCGGCGGCGGCGUCGCCGCUGCAAACAUCACGCCGGCGCCCCCGCAUCGGCUCCGGCUCUGGUGCCGGCGCCUGCCUCCGCCGCUCCCCCACCUGCGUCCCGAUGCCGACGUCCCUGCUGGAGGAAGGCGCCAAUCGCGUGCGCCGUGGAGGUGGCCGGCGGUGGCGUAGACGCUGGCUUGUUGGAGCGAGCACCGCAUCGGGAUAGUAGGGGAGGAAGAGGGGAAAGAGAGAGGAGGGAGUAUGACAGGUGGGACCACGUCGAGGGUAUUUUGGUUAGACAAAAAUUAAAAUAGAGCAAAAUCGUUUCUAAUAACCAAAAAACGUAUUUCAGUGAAUACCCCUUAGUUUAGGAUAGCAUUUUAAUGAAUCACUUUGAAGAUAGUAUUCCAGCAAAACCAUUCUUUUGCGAUAGCAAAAUCACAAUUUUCUCUCCCUCGACGGCGCCGCUUCCCAACGUCCAAUGGCGAGCAGCCGGCUCUCGAUCCGGCGGGUGUAGUCUCCGCGGCGUCGGCGACGGCAGCGGGAAGCUUCAGCUUCGGCCAGAUCGACGGCACCCUCGCCGCCGGUCUCCGAUGGGACCAGGACUAUGGCAGUAAAGAUUUGGCUGGAACAUCCAAUAUUUUCAGCCAAUUGUCUGAAGAUGUGAUUACCAAGGAUGCAAAUAACUAGCAACAAGAGCAGGUAUGUGCAGAGUUGCAGACAACCGCUGAGACUCAACCGAAUUCAUCCAGGCAUAGAAACGGAAAAAUAGACCAUAGCAGCAAUAGUUCUGAUCAGGUAGAUGAAGAAUCCAACAUUUUGAAGAGUCUUUUAUGUUGCUCAGGGAUUCAUAGUACAUAAAUAUGCUGAAGGAAAUAGCAUUGUCGCAAAGAGAUGCAAAAGGUGAAACAUGGGUGCUGAAGAAUAACUGCCAGUAAUUUUAGCUGAAGCUGACCGUAGCAAAGUUUUGGUUAGUGUAGCGAACUGCAAACAUUAAUUUCAUUCAGAUGAGACAUGCAAAUUUGAUUGAGAGGAAAUGUCUCCCAUGUCUUCUUAAAACCUUGUGGAAUGGCUAGCUGGUUCUUUUUGUAGGAAGGACAAAUCUGAAACAAGAAGAUGUAGGUGACAGGUUGCGAGCUCCAACAAAUUUGGUGCAAAGUUUGUUAUGGGAACCUGGUAUGGAGUGUACACGGGAAAAAGGUCUCUGCUCUUAUAUAGAAGUAGUGAAUUUUUAAUUCCCAUAUACUACGCUAUCCUUCUUCGAACAUCAGUGCUAGCUGGACUUGGUUGUUUACCGUAUACGAGGAGAACCAUUUGGAUUGAGGCAAGGUGAUCCAUUAUCACCAUAUUUGUUGCUCUGUGCUGAAGGCUUUUCUGCUAUAUUACUGAAGGCAAAGAAUGAAGAAAGAGUUGGUGGGGUUAAAAUUUGCCAAGGAGCACCAUGCAUCUCUCACCUGCUGUUGCCGAUGAUUCUUUAAUUGUGAUUCGUGCAAACGGGAAGGAUGCAACACAAUUGCAAGGAACUCCCCAAUUAUAUGAGCUGCCUUCAGGGCAAAUGAUAAAUAACGACGAGUCGGCUGUAAUUUUUAGCAAGAACACUAGGGAUCAGAAGAGAAGUGAGGUGAUGCAAAUGUUGCACAUAACAAAGGAAACACAAAAUGAGAAAUAUCUGGGGCUUCCAAUGUAGAUUAGAAAAUCUAGAGCUGAAGCUCUUGAGUAUCUAAAAGAUAAGACUGGCAAACAAUUCACAGGUGAAGGAGAUUAUGAUCAAAGCUGCACAAGCUAUCCCUAUCUACGCCAUGGCAUAUUUUGAUUUAACAAAGGGCUUAUGUGACCAGAUAAGCACUCUCAUUUGUAGGUAUUGGUGGAUCCAGCAAGAGAAGGAGAAAAAACGCAUUGGAUCAGUUGGGAUAAUCUGAAAAAGUCAAAGAAGCAAGAUGGGCUGGGUUUCAGAGACAUUUAUGCUAGGAUCCUUAAAGCAAGAUCCAGGCUCUGUGUGCUAGGAUCCUUAAAGCAAGGUAUUUCCCUACUGCUGAUAUCCUAUCUGCCCAUCUGAUCGGGAAUAUGUCAUACACAUAGCGAAGUAUUGUAAAAGGUGUUGAGCUGCUGAAAGAGGGCAUUAUUUGGAGAGUUGGGAAUGGCUAAAGCAUCAAUAUUUGCAAUGAUGAUCCAUGGUUACUAAUAAGAGGAAUUACGAGACCAGUCACACACCUAAGGGACACAAUUUGAUCCGGACAUUUUCUGUAAUCCUCAAAUCUGAAGCGGCGUGGGAUGCAUAUUGAUACUAGAUGCCAUGUUUGCAGGAGGCUUGAUGAGGAUCAGGGACACCUCUUUUUCAAAUGUAAGUAUGUUAAAUAUAUCUGGAGAGAGCUGGGAUUAGAAAUAACAAGAAACAUGUUUGCAGAGAUGUAAUCUGUCCAUGAGUUAGUUGAAAAGAUUACUGAUC